CCUACGGGCGGCAGCAGUGAGGAAUAUUGGUCAAUGGACGAGAGUCUGAACCAGCCAAGUAGCGUGAAGGAUGACUGCCCUAUGGGUUGUAAACUUCUUUUAUAUGGGAAUAAAAUGUUCCACGUGUGGGAUUUUGUAUGUACCAUAUGAAUAAGGAUCGGCUAACUCCGUGCCAGCAGCCGCGGUAAUACGGAGGAUCCGAGCGUUAUCCGGAUUUAUUGGGUUUAAAGGGAGCGUAGGUGGAUUGUUAAGUCAGUUGUGAAAGUUUGCGGCUCAACCGUAAAAGUGCAGUUGAAACUGGCAGUCUUGAGGACAGUAGAGGUGGGCGGAAGUCGUGGUGUAGCGGUGAAAUGCUUAGAUAUCACGAAGAACUCCGAUUGCGAAGGCAGUUCACUGGACUGCAACUGACACUGAGGCUCGAAAGUGUGGGUAUCAAACAGGAUUAGAUACCCUUGUAGUC
Molecule: ribosomal RNA, 460 nt
Filed under: uncultured bacterium
Lineage: Bacteria
Description: partial 16S ribosomal RNA
Rfam family: Bacterial small subunit ribosomal RNA
Source: RNAcentral